UCCCCCUCCCCCUCCCUCUCUCCCUCGCCCAUCCGUAAUAAUUUCGUCAGUAUAAGCCUUCAGGUCCUUUAUUAAGGCCUGUCUUGAAGAUGGCAAAGGUCUUAAGGAAGAUGUCAGGUGCCGAGGAUCUGGGGAGAAGAUGGUGUUCUAGAAGGAAUCGGAGAGGGUUUGGAAGUGGAGUUAGAUGCUCUUUUUUUUUUUUUAAGUUCCUCUUUAUUUCGUUUAUUGGGAUUUUUGGUGCGUUUAUUGCGGAGUUUUUAAGGAGUUUUAUUUCUUCUGUUUAUGUGAUAUAUUAGUUAGUUGGGAUUUUUUUUUUUUUAAGUAUUGAAGGGGUGCAAUUUUGAGUCCGUUUUUGAAAUUUCGUUUCUAUACAUUGAUGUCUUUAUUAAAAUUCAUUGGCGUUUUAUUCAUGGAGCACUUGCGGUUCAAUUUUAAGAUCCGGUGAAAUAUGACGGAUUUAAUGUAUUUAAAAAUGACAGAUUAGGCUUUUAUUUAAAUGAAUGGAUGAUUCAUCGUUCAUUGAUAUGCAUUUAGGUUUUAUUUGAAGAUCGUCUGGGCGGUCUCUUUAGAUACACUGGAGAUAAAACAGGCUGAAUGAGACAUACAGGAAAGGUCAAAAGGUCAGGGACAAGGUCAUGGCCCAACGUCAGACAACAAGAAGUAAGUAAUUAUGAAAGAAGGGCGAGUAAAUAUCAGGAAUUUCCCAGCAAACACCAGCGCCUUGUGUCGUAGCUGUGUGUGAGCGAAAGCUUUUUUUUGUGUGUGUGCAUAUACUUUUUUUUUUUCUUUCUCGACCAUCGGGUGUCCUUCUACUUCCGAUCUCGCUCUGAACACUGAGGAAGUACCAGAUCUCUCCCGCCGAUUCAGAAAGUAUCGUUCAUCUCCCAACUUUCGCGCCGGCGGUAACCGUCGGACGGGCAAAGUUAUCGAGAAUCUCAAGGAAAAGUUGUGUACGUACGAGAGCGUUAAUUAAAUACCAAAGUGGCCUUACUCACUUAAUUCAAUUAAGCUGUCAGCCCCACUAAUGGCUACUGAGCUGAUAACAACGUCCCAGAGGAGAGGGCAUCGAGACGAAACAUUGAGCAACGCGAGGGAAAAGCGAGACGUUUGGGCUCGUGACGUCACAGGGUGUCUAUGACGUCACGAGGUGCACGAGAGGGCCAGGUCAGCCGUCAUUUGUGCAGCGAGCGUGGACGCGAGCACAUCGCCUGAUCCUGCCUAACUGCAGCUGUAAACAGAUGUGAAGGCAAACCCAGGCGGAUAGAAAACAAACAAACAAACAAAGGUGCUUGUUUUUAUUAGCAGCUGACGGAAAAGUGGCUGUUAUUGUUAACGAGUCCAAUUAGACAAUAAGAACCUUUACUAAUUCCAAAAAAAAAGGGAGGAGGCUGAAAAUUAAAGAUAAAAAAUAAUCAUAGAGUGACGGAGGGAGGGAUGCGCUGCCUGGAAUAGUGCCCCGAGGCCUCAGUGCCAUUCCCAAGCGGAGUGCCAUGUCGUACCCACAUCCGCGUGCCCCGCCCAUUCCCUAAUUCGUGCCCUGUGAUUGGCUGAAAAGGAACACCUAG
Penaeus monodon (black tiger shrimp) is the source of this 1565-nucleotide long non-coding RNA. RefSeq lists it as uncharacterized. NCBI's taxonomy places the organism in Eukaryota, Metazoa, Arthropoda, Malacostraca, Decapoda, Penaeidae. The record is from RefSeq and is a predicted model, not a curated record. The transcript is spliced from 2 exons.